AAAGUCGUAACAAGGUUUCCGUAGGUGAACCUGCGGAAGGAUCAUUAACACGUGUAUCCACGUAUAAACCAUGCGCACUCAUUCUCGUUAUGGGGUAGUAUCGAAGAGCUGAAAGAGCAGACGCAGUGCCAACCCUGUGUUCAACGGGGCUCGUAAAGUGCUGUCUUUCAUUUUCUCUUUUGGUAUGGCUUCGCGGCUGUAUCGACAAGGGGGAGUAUUCUUUAUUAUCCACACUGCACCUUUUUUACAAAUUUAUUUACACUUUAUACCAACUUGUACUAAUUUUAUGUUUUGGCGAAAGCCUUAACUAAAUCUAUUUAACUAUAGAACAACUCUUAGCAACGGAUAUCUUGGUUCUC
Molecule: unclassified non-coding RNA, 359 nt
Filed under: Basidiomycota sp.
Lineage: Eukaryota; Fungi; Basidiomycota
Description: partial contains small subunit ribosomal RNA, internal transcribed spacer 1, and 5.8S ribosomal RNA
Rfam family: Eukaryotic small subunit ribosomal RNA (bases 1-47)
Source: RNAcentral